Molecule: long non-coding RNA, 2309 nt
Filed under: Podarcis lilfordi (Lilford's wall lizard)
Lineage: Eukaryota; Metazoa; Chordata; Lepidosauria; Squamata; Lacertidae
Source: RNAcentral
GCCAAUGGCAACAGCUGAGGAGGCAUCACCAUAACCUCCUUAGACCUCACAAUGGUGGAUGCAGCUCAACAGCCCUUAUCUGUAUUGGUUGGUAAAGGUAAAGGACCCCUGGAUGGGGUUCCAGCACUCAUCUCGCUUUCAGGCCGAGGGAGCCGGCGUUUGUUCACAGACAGCUUUCUAGGUUAUGUGGCCCACAGGACUAAACCGCUUCUGCCGCAACGGGACACCGUGAAGGAAACCAGAGCGCACGGAAACGCUGUUUACCUUCCCGCCGGAGUUGUACCUAUUUAUCUACUUGCACUGGUGUGCUUUCGAACUGCUAGGUUGGCAGGAGCUGGGACAGAGCAACGGGAGCUCACCCCGCCGUGGGGAUUCGAACCGCCGACCUUCUGAUCAGCAAGCCCAAGAGGCUCAGUGGUUUAGACCACAGCGCCACCACAGGAGAGGAAAGUGCACUUGGGUCCUACUUUUGGCAUUCCCACCAGCUUCUGGUUGGCCUUUUUGAGAACAGGAUGCUGGACUGGAUGCCCCAUUGGCCUGAUCCUGCAGGCUGCUCUUAUGUUCUUGCUCCCUAGCUCAUGCUGGUCCCCUCUUCGGGUUCAGACAUUUCUUGGGGUCCUGCUUUUGGCUUCCCCAAUCCACUAGGAGCCUCCCUCUGGUCCUCCGACACUCUGAGCUCCUCCCCCUCUUCCUCAGGAUCGGUCCAUCCCCUCACAAGGCCUGCCAAGAAAAAUAAAGAAUUUAUUCAUGUAUGCUACAACAGCGGCAAGAGUCUUGAUAGCACAAGGGAUGGAAGAACGAGGAAACCCCGACAAAAGAACAAUGGCAAGAGAAAUUGAUGAACUAUGCAGAACUGGCAAAACUGACAUACAAACUGCGAGAUAAGGACAACUGUGACUUCAAAGAAGAAUGGGAACUUUUUACAAAUUACUUAAAAAGACAACAAAGGUAAAUUAGAUAACCAAGAGACGUGUGGUGAAUGCGGUGGAAGUCUUUUAUAAUAUUUUAACUAGGAUUUAUAUAUCAUAAUGUUUGAAGUAUGAAUUUGGAAUAAUUGAUUAUGAAAAGUAUUUUUUCUCUUCAUUCUUUUUCUUGUUUCUUUUAUCUUUUGUCUUUCUUUUCUAGUCUGCAUUCUGGGAAAUAGUGUAGAUAAAUGUUUUAAUGUAUGGUUAUGCAUUGUUUCUAUUUCUUUUUUUCUUUUCAUAUUUUUGUAACAUUUAAUAAAAUUUAAUAAAAAAAAAAAAGACAACAAAAUGAAUUGGACUCCUUGGCAGGUUUUGAAUAAACAUACACAAAUUUAUUGACUGUUUACAUAGUAGACACAUAAUUUAAGGAUUUAUACAAUUUUGCAGUAUGCAGAGAAUAACAUGUGCUGAGAAAUCAGAGAGAGGAGCUGAGGGAAGUCUUGGGGGGGUUGAUGGGGGGAAGGGGGGAAAUAAUGAAUAUGAUAUGUUUUGAUAUUUUGUUAUGUUGAAAUUGUUAAUAAAGGAUUGGUCCAUCCCCUCCAUGACUUCGCCAUAGGGUUCAGGACAUGAAUGGACCGGCCUCCACUCAGUUGCUUUCCCCCCACCCCUCACAGGACCACAUCCGUGGAGCAGGUGCUUGCUGGGAACAUCUCCCGUACGCCACGAAGAACCGCCAGACCCAGGCGACCGUAAUUUCUAAGCACAAAGAGGACUGAGUACCUCGACACAUCAGAGGAGCCCCUUGCUUCCCAUGGUAAAACCAGGAACAGAUUCCAGGUGUAGCUUUGUGAUUAUUAUAUACCAAGAAGUCGGCCAUCUGUGGAUGGUGUGUUCCUGCAUCGUUUUCUUUCUUCCGUGGAUGAGAAAGGGCGAUUUGGGGGCGGGGGUGGGGGGGUGGGAACCAUUAAGUGUUAUUAGGUGAAGAGAAUUUGGAUUCCUGUUCCAAACUUCUCCCUUCAGGCUAGGAACAAUUUCCUGCCGCUCUUCCCUCCCCCAACCCCGCCAGACACUUUGAGAUGAGGAAAGGACUUCAAAGAGGCGUUCUCAAAGCACACCCUCGCCGCCCUCCCCCCCCGAAAAACGACAGGCAUCCGUUAGCGAAAGUAUCCAUGUUGUGAUACGCCACAGAUUGCUGCGGUUUGCAAACCAGGCCCCGGGGUCACGAACGGCUGGAUCUGCAGUUAAUGCGACUUGACAGCUCGUAUUAUAUUCUCUCACUCAUGGAUGGUAGAGCCAGGUCCCGUUACAUACGGAGGAAAUCCCUCCGGGUCAAGGUGGAAGAAACAUAGCGGAGAGAUCCCUAUUCCCUGGGAAGCCAUUACCCUCCAGAGCACCGUACGGCAC